Cryptomeria japonica (Japanese cedar) is the source of this 514-nucleotide long non-coding RNA. RefSeq lists it as uncharacterized. NCBI's taxonomy places the organism in Eukaryota, Viridiplantae, Streptophyta, Pinopsida, Cupressales, Cupressaceae. The record is from RefSeq and is a predicted model, not a curated record. The transcript has 3 exons.
CUUCAUCUUCUGGAGCUUAUCCUUCAAUUUCAAUUUUCCCUUGAGUUUAUUCUCCUCUUCUUCACCCCAAUUCUCCUCUUCUUCACCCCAAACAAACCCAGACCCUCCACAAAUCAUCUUUCUUCAUCUUCUUUUUCCCUGGACUUAAGGUUCAAACCCUGGAAUUAAAUACCUCUUAUAGCUUCGUUCAAUGAACCGGCAUCAAAUAUGGACAUGAAUUCAAAAUUUUUUUUAACAUUCUGGCUGGUAAAAGAUGAAGAGGAAAAACGGAGGAUCAGAAAAUCGCAACCAAAUGAGAUCCAUCAAAUUCCCUCUUCCAGAUGAAGCAGCAGAGAUGAAGCAGCAGAGUAAUGAAUUGUGCACAGAUGAAGCAGCAGAGUAAUGUAUUGUUUACCCUGCACAAUUGGGCAUUGAUAAACACCCUAUGAAAUUUAAUAAUAAAUCACUCAAAAUGGCAUGAAAAAUUGAAUUCUUUCCAUUAAUUUUGGCUAUCAUAUUUAAUUAUUUCCAUUAA